UAUAGCAAUACCCUAUCUCCACUUUCCUAAUUCCACCUUCAAACGUUACAAUCCCUUCCCCUUCAAAGAAUGACCUUGUCCUCAAGGUCUUUGCAGAGCCACGAACUCUAGAAAUCUGCCUUUAAUGUAACCCCAAUCUUCCCAUGUGGCUUCUUCUUCACUCAAAUUAGUCGAGUGAACCAAGACUUUCACACGAACCCCAUUAUCCACUUUAGUCAUUUUUCGCUGCAAGGUAGCCAUAGGCUGAAUCAAGACUCGACCUGCAUCGUCACAAAUCAGAGGUUCUGGCUGAGAAUCGAUAGCUGGUCCAACCCUUUUCUUCAACUGCGAGAUGUGGAAGACUGGAUGUAGCUACGAAUCUGCUGGCAACUCCAAACGGUUUCAAUGGAAUGAAAUGGUCAUGCUCCCUGCUUGGUGGUAAUGUCUUGGGUUCUGCAAAUACUCCUGGAAACUUCUCCAAUACAGAUUUGAUCUCUGCAGAUUUCCUCCACAAAGUCGGGCCAUCUCACCACACCUAUACUAAUUUGGUAUGAAAAGUACCAUGACUCAGCCUUUCCAUUUAAAUGAAUAACAACAGUUUCAAGUUUAUGCUGAGGAUCAGAGAUGUGAUUAUAAUGGAAGUACCUUUCACAUUUCCUCAACCACGACCUGGGAUCACCAUCUUCAAAGUAUGGACAGUCUACCUUUGAAGCAAAGCUGCUCGAGUGGUAUCUCCCCAUAGGCUGCUCGUGAGGCUCCACCAUUCUUGCCCUACUUCAAGAACCUUCCACCUGAAGAUUUCCUGAAGGCGCACUUCCCAGAAUUCCAUCUUUACUAACGAAGAUUUUAUCCAUCAUUAUGUCAAACUUGUGAUGUAAAUCAUCCAUUUUUGAGUCAUUGGAGUCCAGCUUUUUAUUCGUCUCUGACAUGUAAUUCUGUAAUUGAUUCUCCAAUUUCUUUAUGUUUUCUUCUGUAGCUUUAGCCCUAGUUUCUGGUAUUGUCAUGGUGCCAGGACUUGCUCUGAUACCAAAUCUGUAAUGAACUA
This is a non-coding RNA of Nicotiana tabacum (common tobacco), 1024 nucleotides long. Lineage: Eukaryota; Viridiplantae; Streptophyta; Magnoliopsida; Solanales; Solanaceae. The record is from RefSeq and is a predicted model, not a curated record.